RNAcentral lists this long non-coding RNA (1758 nucleotides) under Centruroides sculpturatus (bark scorpion). Its description in RNAcentral is "uncharacterized LOC111622313, transcript variant X1". Lineage: Eukaryota; Metazoa; Arthropoda; Arachnida; Scorpiones; Buthidae. The record is from RNAcentral.
CGUUUUUAACGUUUGUUCGAAAUACGUCACGCAUGACGAAUCGCAGUUCGAUUGUGUUUCUUGUUGCUUUCGGACGUGCUUUUGUUCUGCUCUUGGAUUGCGUUGCUUUUUUUGCGGUUUGUGCACUUUUGCGGAGAGGAUUCAAGAUUUUUUAGGAUGAAGACGUUGCUGCGUUGUUGGAGGCGGUUCCGGCGGAGGCAGGCGGUGGCGCCGGAGGGAGAGGGUUCCUCGGACGACGCGGAACGAGUCUGUCGUUCCGUGCCGUCCGAGGAGCGACAGGCAGCGGGUGAAGAAGGCCUUGGCCAAGUGCGCGUGGCGUGGCAUCCUCCCGGAGUCGGGAUGAUGCGACGCUACACCCAGGGCCCAGUGCGCUUGGCCGAGGUCUUCGGGGGUCAUCCGGCCACAGACCUUGCUGUGGAGGAUGUCGAAAGUGACAGCUCGUCCGAGCUGACACUUUCUGUUUGGUCGUGUUCUGCCCGUUCGUCCGCGACGGCGACGCCACCGCCUUGCCGAAGUCGGGACGGGGAGGAGUCGGAGGAGAGAGCCCCCGAAGUCGAGGGACCGUGCUGUCCGUGGUUUAGUUGCUGCGGACGGCUGCGGUUGCCUUGGCCUAGGCGGUGAUCUUCUUCGAUUUCCUCUUCUUCACCCGGAUGCGACUUUCUUACCGGAUUCGACACUUUUCACCCGGACAUGACACUUUUUAACGGACGUGACCUCUCUUACCCGGACGUGACCCACGGACUUGACACGUUUCUUCACCGGACGCGACAUUCGGCCGACCUUUCUUCCCAAACAGCUGUUAUGAGGAUUGAGCUUCCGGUUAGGGUUCGUUAGGUUAGCCUAGGCUAGGUCGGGUCCUUCGCUCUUCUCAUAACACUGUUCGGGAAGAAAGGCUGUCUAAUUAAGGAACAUUUGGGAGGGAGAAGGAUCUCCCUCCCCAACUUUACCACGAAGAGGACCAAGAAGUGGCCAUUUAUCGCACAAGUGAAUAUUUUCCGAUGACGUGCCGAAGAUGUUCUUCGAUCACACACAUACACACACACGCACGGACAUAACAUCACUGUACACGAAGAUAUACAGCGUUUAACUUUUACUCGAAUUCUCGCACUCACGCAUUUACACGUCAAGCGCCUCGUUCUGUGUAAUUCGACACAAUGAAACAACCCGAACACACGCUUCCCACAAAUCCAACCCCUGGGUCCUCGUCCCGGGAAGUGGAAACGCCAAUUUUAAAGAUUAAAAGACUUUAAAUUGGCGGCCAAAGUGGCUCUGGUAAUCACACAUCUUGCAUUGAUUAAAUGGAAUUUCACACGUUCGCAUCAAUAAUCGCUUUGUUGUAAUCCUACAUAUUUUUGGUUUCUCAAGAUCCACGAUGUGGGCUGCCGAACUGUAUGGAACGGGUCUUGACAGACCGCCCUGGGUUCUUCAACAGUUCGAAUCGAUGUCACAGCGGUAGAUCGAAGUCUUAACCGUUCAAACAUCCGGCUGUCACCUUCUUAUACUAGGUGUUGAAAGUAUAACAAGUAGAGACACUUGCAUAUAAACAGUUUCUUAUUGUACACUAGACACUUGCACAUAAAUUGUUUUUAGUUGGUCGGCACUGUACUAUAUGUCUUACACACUAUAUUAUUUCGGUGAGAAAUUGCCAUUCGAUGUAUACCAUUUUGUUCACGACUCGUUUUCGGUUUUAUUGCCACUUAUUUGUAGCACGACUGGCAGAUUGCCGGACUUCAAAGAACUUGGGUAAAGGUUAUACAU